This 326-nucleotide long non-coding RNA is filed under the name Bos taurus (domestic cattle). RNAcentral's name for it is "long non-coding RNA NONBTAT012191". The record is from RNAcentral. Lineage: Eukaryota; Metazoa; Chordata; Mammalia; Artiodactyla; Bovidae.
UAAAUCCUACUUUAGUAAUUGAAUUAGCAGUUAAAAUGAAUUCUUUUUGAGUGUUGUAUUGAAUAACAUUUCAAUGAGAUAUUUCUUAUAUUUUUAUUGAAAGGAGUAUCUGGUUUUAAUUGGGUCACUUAUGAAGUAGAGCCGUUUCCACAAAGUAAUUACAUUCCUUCAGUGUUUUAAAGAUUUAAAAGAAUUUUUACUACAUAUAUAACUUAGUAUUUUCUCAUGUUUAUUCAGUAAUAGUCAUUUAAAAUUGUUGAUUUUUAAGUUUCAGAGGUUAGUGCUCUCAGAAGAGCUAAGUGAUAUUUCUGGAAGCAGGAGUCAAG